RNAcentral lists this long non-coding RNA (1153 nucleotides) under Sus scrofa (pig). RNAcentral's name for it is "lncRNA (ENSSSCG00030043442.1)". The record is from RNAcentral. Lineage: Eukaryota; Metazoa; Chordata; Mammalia; Artiodactyla; Suidae.
CACAAGGAUCUUUUGGGUCCAGCUUUUAAGAGUAUCACCUUAUUCCUUUAAAAUUAGUCAAUUAAUUUAAAUAAAACAAAAAUAAAUAAUAGAAAAUAUUUUCCAUUAAAGAACUUACCUUUGAGACUUCUGACGAAGGUUUUCCACAAUUUUAAAAAGUAGCCUUUUAAAAUGAAUUGACAUCCAGAUGACUGGGGUCAAACCCGCUAACUCUGUUGAAGAGGCCUCUCUUAACAAUGGAUCCCAUAGUUAUGAAACAUUAAUAGGUCCUGAUAUGGCCCUCAUUAGGGCACCAUGGUCACUCUAAUCUGGUGGGUCAUGCAUGAGAUCUCACUUCCUUUAGAGCAGGGAUAUAACCACUCCCCAUCUCUUUGUCCUUCCACGUACCUACACAUUUCACAGCCUUUCUGCAUAUUUGAUAAGAGACUUUCCUAACAUUGAUCAAUGGGUGAACUGCUAGGUGUAAGAUUUGUUUUACAGUAAGUUAUUUGGAUGAAUAUAAACAUUUUGACCAUCACUGACUCUAAAGAUAAUUUAAGAACUAACUCAGGGAAAUAAAGAUAGCACUAGGUUUUGCUGUGUACUCUUAGCACUCUAAGCUUCAGGGAACAGCAAUUAGAGAGCCUGCUUGACCUUAUCUAGACUGUCUUUGGUCUUGGGGUUAUUUUAACGUAUCAAUACACGUUUAAUUGCUAUGAAUAAGAAACUGAAACCAAACUAGUCAAAACCCAAGUUAAACCAGAAAGGAGAAUUUUAUCAAGCUUUAACCCCCAAAGUACUAUCAAACAUAUUGAGCUGACCAUUAACCCGUCGGGAACACUGAGUCCCAACUUGAACUUGGAAGUGACUCACUCUGUGAUCCCAGCUUGACUCCCUUAAACCCUCUGCUCCUUAGUUUCCACAUUUGUCUCCCUUUAACAGGUCCAGCUAUCAGCAGAACUCCCUGUCCAAGGAGGCUCAUAGCAGCUACGCAGACAACAGAGAAGGAAGCUGCUUGCUGUAGCUGGCACCUUAAGGACGACAGACAGCCGACAGGGCAACUCACCCUGAAGAUCUUCUCUCUGGUGGAGAAAGAGUACAGUGGCCAACACAAAGAUGCAAUCAAGGGAGGGAAGUAAAACCCAGACAUUUAAUAAACAGGAUAAUCAGGACA